RNAcentral lists this long non-coding RNA (669 nucleotides) under Cyanistes caeruleus (blue tit). RNAcentral's name for it is "lncRNA (ENSCCEG00000004877.1)". Lineage: Eukaryota; Metazoa; Chordata; Aves; Passeriformes; Paridae. The record is from RNAcentral.
UUCCGAGCUCCCUGUGGGACACAGGAGCGGAAUUUUGGGAUUCUGCCGCCCUUGCCAUUCCCGUUUUCCCCAUUUCGGGGUGACCUCCAUGGGAUGAGCUCUCCCCUCUCUGAUCCCUGGGAUCCCCCAUCCCCAUCCCUUCUUCCCACAGAGUCUCUCCCUCCUCUCAUCUCCCCCUUUCCCGGUUUUUUCCUCCCUUUCCCUGGGAAUUUUCCCCUCUUUAGGGCGGGCAGCAGCGCCGCCGCUCCCGAGCAUCCAGAGCGAGCUCGGGGAUCCAUAAAAGGCUCCGGGAUGGAUCGGGAACGCCGGGAAUUCGCACGCACAGCCCCGAGGAGGAGCCCAGCUGGGGGAAACCCUCCCCGCCCUGAGUGUCCUACAUCUUCCAGAGGGAAAACGCCAGCUCCUCUGCAUUUACACGGAUUUUUUUUCCCCCCUCUCCUUUCCCUCUCUUCCCACGCAGCGAAUUCCCAACCCCGGCUGCUCCCGGCGCCGCUCGCAGCCCGGCGGGGAGUGGGAGGAGGAAGAGGAUGCUCGGAGGAUUUGGGAAAAUCCGGAGCAUUUCCAGCCAUGCUCCAGCUGGCGCGGCGGCUCCGGAGCUGCUCGGUCUCUGCCUGAGCUGCUGAGGCGGCUCUGGAGCCGCAGGAUUGAUGGAGAGGCACUGAGAGCAUU